Molecule: ribosomal RNA, 162 nt
Filed under: uncultured bacterium
Lineage: Bacteria
Description: partial 16S rRNA
Rfam family: Bacterial small subunit ribosomal RNA
Source: RNAcentral
GGAAUCUUCGGCAAUGGGGGCAACCCUGACCGAGCAACGCCGCGUGAGUGAAGAAGGUUUUCGGAUCGUAAAGCUCUGUUGUAAGAGAAGAACGUGUGUGAGAGUGGAAAGUUCACACAGUGACGGUAACUUACCAGAAAGGGACGGCUAACUACGNGCCAG